Rhododendron vialii is the source of this 3162-nucleotide long non-coding RNA. RefSeq lists it as uncharacterized. The record is from RefSeq and is a predicted model, not a curated record. NCBI's taxonomy places the organism in Eukaryota, Viridiplantae, Streptophyta, Magnoliopsida, Ericales, Ericaceae. The transcript has 3 exons.
GCAACCAAAACACCGGCCGUCGUCGUCGUCCCUGUCUCUCUCUCUCUCUCUCUGGGGUGAGUACAUACGGUAUUUCACUGAAUCUGCGUUCACAAACGGGCGUUAAUCCUUCUCAAACUGAUUCUGGCCUCAAAUUUUUAGAUGUACCUCUAUGGAAGAUCUCUGAGUGGUUGGAUAAGUGUCCGUAUGGGUGAAUUUGGGAGUCUUAUUGCCAUUGAUUAGCUGCUGGAUCUUUGGUUGUGGUCGGUUCUCUCACGACUGAGCUCGAUAGUGAUACGAGCAUGGUUGUUAAAAAGCUACGAUCCUGCAAUUUGUAUCGUCUCCUUCAAAAAACUUAUCUCUCUGAUGGAGUUGUUAAAAACCUACAAUCCUGCAAUUUGUAUCGUCUACAAUUUGAAGUGCCGAUCAAGAUCGGGCUUCGUUGUUGAUUGAUGGAAUUUAAAUUGACAAUCUCUAUAACUUUUAUAUGGAAGAAGAGCUAAUGUCUCUUGCCCAAAUAUGGCUAGAUGGAAAUGAGAUUUUUCAAACACAGUUGAUUGUGGCCAUCCCUAUCAAUAUGGCUGAUGGAUGUUUUUUUUUGAAAACUCAGAACCACAAUGGGAUGAGAUUCUGGAGAUUACCAAGAUUAGAAUAGCUUUUUGGGUGAAAACAAAGUGGGGAACGAAUGAGUUUUUUUUUUUUUUGGGUAAGUGGGAACGAAUGACUUUAGCAUUAAUGGCUUCAUCUAUAAGCUUAAGGCAAUAAAGGAAUCUCUCUAAUGGAGUUGGAGGGUAUGCUGUUGAAGUUACAGGGACAUUACAGGUAGUUAGCUACUCAACGAUACAAGCUACAGUUAUUGAGACACGCAAUAACAAGUUUAUGCCAAAGAUUCGUUCAGGUAGCAACACAGCCACCGGGCCGCACGUAUGCAAUGAAGAUGAACACAUUUUAGUCGAUGAUCUAUGUGCUCUUUAUAGCUGCCCUCUGCCAAGUGCCUUCUAUGCUGUUUUUGAUGGUCAUAGAGGCUCUGACGCAACAAGUGACAGCAACUUAUCUUGAGAAGAAUGCCAUGAGAUUUUUGUUUGAAGAUGCUGAUUUGCCGCCGACAUCCAAUAUUGAUGAUACUUUCUUGGAAGAGUUGUGGAACCACAGCACUGACUGCCCUAGCACUUGGCAGGCAUCUGCUAGUAGCAAAUGCUGGCGACUGUCGUGCUGUUCUCCGUAGAAAAGGAGAUGUUGUGCAGAUAUCUCAAGAUCACAGGCCUAUUAUUUACCAUAACGGAGGAGGGUGGAGGAGUUAGGUGCUAAAAUCGAGUCUAGGUACCUUAAUGGUGAAAUUGCUGUGAGUUUGUGACACGUGAAUUACUGAAAGCGAAAGAAGUUUAUCAAAAUUUAAGUGAAUAAAUCAAAAUGACUUUAAAUUAAGAGCACGUGAAAGGUGAUUUUCUAUGAAGUGCCACACUCCUAGAGGUUACCGUAUUUAUGUUCGACACGAAGGGGACAAGGCAAAAAAUGCAUCCAUUAAAUCUAAUUAAUUUUUUCAUGGGGACAUGGUGAGAUCUCAGCGAGGACAUGGGAGGGACACAAAAGGGAUUAAAUAUGCAAUUUUAAAAUUUUUGGAGGAUAAAUGUAUAUUACUUCAGAUAUUUUGGGUUAAAAGGGUAAUAUGUGUAUAUGAUAUUUGUUUAUAUACUACAUAUUGAUGCUUUGUGCUUCGACAUGUGUAACUUUGUUUCCAUUGGUUUAAAGUAAGUAUUUUUUACUUAUUUAUUUUUUUCGUGUCUGUGUCCGCAUGGACACAUUUUUAAGCAAUCCCGCGUCUUGUGCCCGUAUCCAUGUCCUUAUCCAGUUCUGUAUCCAUGCUACAUAACUGAUAUUGGUUAUUUAGAGCUCAGAAAGUGUUCUAAUUGCAGAAGUUGAUAGUGUCAGAAUCGGGCCAAGGUAUUAGUUGCUGAUAAUGAUGCUGCAAUGCCGAAAUUGGUUGCUGAAUUGUAUAGUUUAAAGCGAAGACCACAUACUAAAAUGGGGGAAUCUGACAUGGCAUGAAUAUUUGUAUUGUGAAGAAGGAAAAUUUUAUGCUGAUGUUGGAGCCAGUCAACUCCAUUGGAUGAUUAUUAGGAUUUUUUUCGUACUCAUCAUGAUAAGGUACGUGAUUAUAUAUCUAGGUCUCGACGGGCAAACAUAUGUUUUUGGUGAUUUUUCAUUCACAAAUUGAUAAUUUUGUCAUGAUCUAUAUGUUGGGAAGUCGAUAUUGACUCUAAAUUUUUGUUGACCGGGGCGUGGUAGGUUCCUUGCUUUAACUUGGUUGUGUUUAUCAUAGUUUCUUACUUGAAGAUAAAAUGUCAUAGGUGUUAAAAGAUAAACUUGGUUCUUAUUCAUCGUCAUUUGCAUUGCAGGUAAUACAACGGUCUAGCCCAUCAUUUUGAAAGCUUUUUUUGGCAAAGAUCUUGUUAAGGAUCGCAUCCUGAAGUUGAGAUUACUUUUCGCUUCCAUUAGUCUAGGCAAUGUACUAGUUGGAUUAUGGUAUUUCCGCACGAUUAUGGCAAUAUUUGAUCUACUUUUGAAUAUUGACAAUGUUAUGGAACAUACCUUCUGCUUUUGAUAAUUCAUAUGGAGUAGUAGUUUUUCUUAUUGAAAAAAUGGAAAUGAAUUCUUUUGCUUUUUCAAUAUUGCUGAGUUAUUUAGGAAAAUAUUAGUGGUGAAGUGUGAACAGAUAUAUAUGUAGUGGGAAAGUGGCUAAUACAAUUGAUUAGGAUGCGGUUUUGAAUUGAACCUGUAGAACCGCUUUAGCUGUUGCUAAAAGUGUCAACUGUAUGGUGAGAUCCAUAGAGUAUUUAUCAGUUGCUGGAGAAACGUGCAGCAAGGCGUAUUGGGUUCUUCACCAACGGGCAAACCACUGCAAAACUACCAGAGCUUGCCAAAAGCGUAGGUGUAGAGAUGGAGUGAUGAAUAUCGAUUACGUGUUGGUUUCAGAAGGUGCUGGUAUAUAGAUCACCCGUGACCUUUGUGUAUAAAAAAAAUCAAGAAGUCAGUUCAGAAUAGACUUGUGCGUAUUGAUUGGCGAAUCUAUGCUAAUGUGUUUGCCUCUGGUUGAUGUAUCUGUUCUUUGUACUUAAGUCUUCUAAACUUCUGUUGUUGUCAGCCUCGGCUGGUGGAUAAGCUCUAAAAAGCUAUCCUUUACUA